RNAcentral lists this transfer RNA (73 nucleotides) under Marinobacter sp. RNAcentral describes it as "tRNA-OTHER". It matches the Rfam family "tRNA". Rfam says of the family: Transfer RNA (tRNA) molecules are approximately 80 nucleotides in length. Their secondary structure includes four short double-helical elements and three loops (D, anti-codon, and T loops). Lineage: Bacteria; Pseudomonadati; Pseudomonadota; Gammaproteobacteria; Pseudomonadales; Marinobacteraceae. RNAcentral also lists the same sequence under 1 other name. The record is from RNAcentral.
GCGGGAGUAGCUCAGCCAGGUAGAGCGUGGGCCAACGAGCUCUGAGCCGCCGGUUCGAAUCCGGCCUCCCGCU